This 422-nucleotide ribosomal RNA is filed under the name uncultured bacterium. RNAcentral's name for it is "bacterial SSU rRNA". It matches the Rfam family "Bacterial small subunit ribosomal RNA", at positions 355 to 774 of the family's 1533-position model. The record is from RNAcentral.
UAGGGAAUAUUGGACAAUGGGCGCAAGCCUGAUCCAGCCAUCCCGCGUGAAGGAUGAAGGCCCUCUGGGUCGUAAACUUCUUUUAUCUGGGAAUAAAAACUCGUAUUUAUAUGAGCUUGAAGGUACCAGAGGAAUAAGCACCGGCUAACUCCGUGCCAGCAGCCGCGGUAAUACGGAGGGUGCAAGCGUUAUCCGGAUUCACUGGGUUUAAAGGGUGCGUAGGUGGCUUUGUAAGUCAGUGGUGAAAGCCCGGAGCUUAACUCCGGAACUGCCAUUGAUACUGCUUAGCUUGAAUCGAGUAGAGGUGGAUGGAAUAUCACAUGUAGCGGUGAAAUGCUUAGAUAUGUGAUAGAACACCGAUUGCGAAGGCAGUUCACUAUGCUCGUAUUGACACUGAGGCACGAAAGCGUGGGGAUCAAACA